RNAcentral lists this transfer RNA (73 nucleotides) under Leiosaurus catamarcensis. Its description in RNAcentral is "tRNA-Trp". Lineage: Eukaryota; Metazoa; Chordata; Lepidosauria; Squamata; Leiosauridae. The record is from RNAcentral.
AGAGACUUAGGAUAAUCAAUCAAACCAGGGGCCUUCAAAGCCCAAAAUAGAGACGAAACCACUCUAGUUUCUG